RNAcentral lists this ribosomal RNA (681 nucleotides) under uncultured bacterium. RNAcentral describes it as "bacterial SSU rRNA". It matches the Rfam family "Bacterial small subunit ribosomal RNA", at positions 67 to 733 of the family's 1533-position model. The record is from RNAcentral.
GGGCAGCAUGGGAGAUGCUUGCAUUUCCCGAUGGCGACCGGCGCACGGGUGAGUAACGCGUAUCCAACCUACCCUUCACUCCGGCACAGCCCGUCGAAAGACGGAUUAAUGCGGGAUGCAGUCAGAAAGAUGCAUAUUAAUUUGACGAAAGGCCUUCGGGCCGGUGAGGGAUGGGGAUGCGUCCGAUUAGCUUGACGGCGGGGUAACGGCCCACCGUGGCGACGAUCGGUAGGGGUUCUGAGAGGAAGGUCCCCCACAUUGGAACUGAGACACGGUCCAAACUCCUACGGGAGGCAGCAGUGAGGAAUAUUGGUCAAUGGGCGAGAGCCUGAACCAGCCAAGUAGCGUGCAGGAAGACGGCCCUAUGGGUUGUAAACUGCUUUUGUGCGGGAAUAAAGCGGGUCACGUGUGGCCCUUUGCAUGUACCGUACGAAUAAGGACCGGCUAAUUCCGUGCCAGCAGCCGCGGUAAUACGGAAGGUCCGGGCGUUAUCCGGAUUUAUUGGGUUUAAAGGGAGCGUAGGCCGUCUCAAAAGCGUGUUGUGAAAUGUCCGGGCUCAACCGGGGCCGUGCAGCGCGAACUGUGAGACUUGAGUGUGCGGAAGGUAUGCGGAAUUCGUGGUGUAGCGGUGAAAUGCAUAGAUAUCACGAAGAACUCCGAUUGCGAAGGCAGCAUGCCGCA